Molecule: ribosomal RNA, 396 nt
Filed under: uncultured Fusibacter sp.
Lineage: Bacteria; Bacillati; Bacillota; Clostridia; Eubacteriales; Fusibacteraceae
Description: bacterial SSU rRNA
Rfam family: Bacterial small subunit ribosomal RNA
Source: RNAcentral
GACCAUUCUUUUAAUCGAGAUUUUGCCGUUCGGGUACAAUUGAGACAGGUGGUGCAUGGUUGUCGUCAGCUCGUGUCGUGAGAUGGUUGGGUUAACGUCCCGCAACGAGCGCAACCCGUUGUGUUUAGUUGCAAACAGGUCAAGCUGUGCACUCUAGACAGACUGCCGUGGACAACACGGAGGAAGGUGGGGAUGACGUCAAAUCAUCAUGCCCCUUAUGAUCUGGGCUACACACGUGCUACAAUGGCCGGUACAACGGGCAGCGAAGGAGCGAUCCGGAGCGAAUCCUAAAAAGCCGGUCCCAGUUCGGAUUGCAGGCUGAAACUCGCCUACAUGAAGUUGGAGUUGCUAGUAAUCGCGAAUCAGAAUGUCGCGGUGAAUGCGUUCCCGGGUCUU